This 421-nucleotide ribosomal RNA is filed under the name uncultured archaeon. RNAcentral describes it as "bacterial SSU rRNA". It matches the Rfam family "Archaeal small subunit ribosomal RNA", at positions 459 to 880 of the family's 1478-position model. The record is from RNAcentral.
CAGCCGCCGCGGUAAAACCAGCACCUCAAGUGGUCAGGAUGAUUAUUGGGCCUAAAGCAUCCGUAGCCCGUUUUGUAAGUUUUCGGUUAAAUCCAUGCGCUUAACGUAUGGGCUGCCGGGAAUACUGCAUAACUAGGAAGUGGGAGAGGUAGACGGUACUCGGUAGGAAGGGGUAAAAUCCUUUGAUCUAUUGAUGACCACCUGUGGCGAAGGCGGUCUACCAGAACACGUUCGACGGUGAGGGAUGAAAGCUGGGGGAGCAAACCGGAUUAGAUACCCGGGUAGUCCCAGCUGUAAACUAUGCAAACUCAGUGAUGCAUUGGCUUAUGGCCAAUGCAGUGCUGCAGGGAAGCCGUUAAGUUUGCCGCCUGGGAAGUACGUACGCAAGUAUGAAACUUAAAGGAAUUGGCGGGGGAACACA